This 29-nucleotide non-coding RNA is filed under the name Mus musculus (house mouse). The record is from RNAcentral. Lineage: Eukaryota; Metazoa; Chordata; Mammalia; Rodentia; Muridae.
UACCAAAGCUGAACUUCAGCAAGGCCAAG